UGCUCAGUACUCAGUGUAGAUC
RNAcentral lists this microRNA (22 nucleotides) under Gadus morhua (Atlantic cod). RNAcentral describes it as "gmo-miR-222-5p". Its record names the gene gmo-miR-222-5p. The record is from miRBase by way of RNAcentral. Lineage: Eukaryota; Metazoa; Chordata; Actinopteri; Gadiformes; Gadidae.